UCCAGGGUAGCCUAGUGGACAUGGCAUCUGCCCGGUAAGUGGAACAUUGUGGGUUCGAUUCCCAUCCCUGGAU
This 73-nucleotide transfer RNA is filed under the name Cordylochernes scorpioides. RNAcentral describes it as "tRNA-Thr". It matches the Rfam family "tRNA". From Rfam's summary of the family: Transfer RNA (tRNA) molecules are approximately 80 nucleotides in length. Lineage: Eukaryota; Metazoa; Arthropoda; Arachnida; Pseudoscorpiones; Chernetidae. The record is from RNAcentral.